GACGAACGCUGGCGGCGUGCUUAACACAUGCAAGUCGUACGGUAAGGCCCUUUCGGGGGUACACGAGUGGCGCACGGGUGAGUAACACGUGAGUAACCUGCCCACAACUUUGGGAUAACGCUAGGAAACUGGUGCUAAUACUGGAUAUGUGCUCCUGCUGCAUGGUGGGGGUUGGAAAGCUCCGGCGGUUGUGGAUGGACUCGCGGCCUAUCAGCUUGUUGGUGGGGUAGUGGCCUACCAAGGCGGCGACGGGUAGCCGGCCUGAGAGGGUGACCGGCCACAUUGGGACUGAGAUACGGCCCAGACUCCUACGGGAGGCAGCAGUGGGGAAUAGUGCACAAUGGGCGCAAGCCUGAUGCAGCAACGCCGCGUGCGGGAUGACGGCCUUCGGGUUGUAAACCGCUUUCAGCAGGGACGAAGCUUUUUGUGACGGUACCUGCAGAAGAAGCACCGGCUAACUACGUG
This 465-nucleotide ribosomal RNA is filed under the name uncultured bacterium. Its description in RNAcentral is "partial 16S ribosomal RNA". It matches the Rfam family "Bacterial small subunit ribosomal RNA", at positions 28 to 507 of the family's 1533-position model. The record is from RNAcentral.